This is a long non-coding RNA of Myotis myotis, 399 nucleotides long. RefSeq lists it as uncharacterized. The transcript has 3 exons. NCBI's taxonomy places the organism in Eukaryota, Metazoa, Chordata, Mammalia, Chiroptera, Vespertilionidae. The record is from RefSeq and is a predicted model, not a curated record.
AAGAGAGCCCACACCAUCUCCUUAUGAAGGUCUUCAAAUUCAUUCAAGUUGCUGGGCCCAGCAGUGAGGAUGAGGAUGACUACCAGGUAGAGGUUACAGGCUCAUCGACCCUGGUUCAUGUGGAAGUAAGAGAUGUUCGACAUGGGACUAAUCAAUGUGUAUAUUUACUGUGAAGUUUACCCAAGGAGGAAAGAGGAAACCAGCUGCAUGAAUGGAAUUUGGAGAAAGCCACAAGAAUGCUACUCACAGAUUGUGUGUGGCAUGUUUUGCACUGAGGAACAAGAAAGAACAUUGCAUCGACCACGACAUAAUUACACUUCCUUCUGCACAACUUCAUCCAUGCCUGGCGUGUGGACUCUGCCCAGGUCUGGCUGUGAACCCUGCAAAACCACGAUGCAA